CAGUGGAGAAGGCGACUCUCUGGUCUGUAACUGACGCUGAGGAGCGAAAGCGUGGGGAGCGAACAGGAUUAGAUACCGUGGUAGUCCACGCCGUAAACGAUGAGUGCUAAGUGUUAGGGGGCUUCCGCCCCUUAGUGCUGCAGCUAACGCAUUAAGCACUCCGCCUGGGGAGUACGGUCGCAAGACUGAAACUCAAAGGAAUUGACGGGGGCCCGCACAAGCGGUGGAGCAUGUGGUUUAAUUCGAAGCAACGCGAAGAACCUUACCAGGUCUUGACAUCCUCUGACAAUCCUAGAGAUAGGACGUCCCCUUCGGGGGCAGAGUGACAGGUGGUGCAUGGUUGUCGUCAGCUCGUGUCGUGAGAUGUUGGGUUAAGUCCCGCAACGAGCGCAACCCUUGAUCUUAGUUGCCAGCAUUCAGUUGGGCACUCUAAGGUGACUGCCGGUGACAAACCGGAGGAAGGUGGGGAUGACGUCAAAUCAUCAUGCCCCUUAUGACCUGGGCUACACACGUGCUACAAUGGACAGAACAAAGGGCAGCGAAACCGCGAGGUUAAGCCAAUCCCACAAAUCUGUUCUCAGUUCGGAUCGCAGUCUGCAACUCGACUGCGUGAAGCUGGAAUCGCUAGUAAUCGCGGAUC
RNAcentral lists this ribosomal RNA (640 nucleotides) under Bacillus inaquosorum. Its description in RNAcentral is "bacterial SSU rRNA". It matches the Rfam family "Bacterial small subunit ribosomal RNA", at positions 710 to 1350 of the family's 1533-position model. Lineage: Bacteria; Bacillati; Bacillota; Bacilli; Caryophanales; Bacillaceae. The record is from RNAcentral.